RNAcentral lists this ribosomal RNA (253 nucleotides) under uncultured bacterium. Its description in RNAcentral is "partial 16S ribosomal RNA". It matches the Rfam family "Bacterial small subunit ribosomal RNA", at positions 524 to 776 of the family's 1533-position model. The record is from RNAcentral.
AACGUAGGGGACGAGCGUUAUCCGGAUUUACUGGGCGUAAAGCGCUUGUAGGUGGCUUUGUAAGUUGGGCGUGAAAACUCUGGGCUUAACCCAGAGACGCCGUCCAAUACUGCGAGGCUCUAGGAUGUCAGAGGAAGGUGGAAUUCCUGGUGUAGUGGUGAAAUGCGUAGAUAUCAGGAGGAACACCCGUGGCGAAGGCGGCCUUCUGGGGCAUUCCUGACACUGAGAAGCGAAAGCUAGGGGAGCAAACAGG